UACGGGGGGAGCAAGCGUUGUUCGGAUUUACUGGGCGUAAAGGGCGCGUAGGCGGCCACCGCAAGUCGACUGUGAAAUCUCCGGGCUUAACCCGGAAAGGUCAGCCGAUACUGCGGGGCUAGAGUGCAGAAGGGGCAACUGGAAUUCUCGGUGUAGCGGUGAAAUGCGUAGAUAUCGAGAGGAACACCUGCGGCGAAGGCGGGUUGCUGGGCUGAUACUGACGCUGGAGGCGCGAAAGCCAGGGGAGCGAACGGG
Molecule: ribosomal RNA, 255 nt
Filed under: uncultured bacterium
Lineage: Bacteria
Description: partial 16S ribosomal RNA
Rfam family: Bacterial small subunit ribosomal RNA
Source: RNAcentral